AUUUAGUUGAUUUUGCCUGUUUUCGUCCGCCAAAUGACCUCAAGGUAACUUGUACACACAUAUAAUGAUGAAUCAACACCUAAUAAUUAAAUUAACAUUGCCACAGAUUUCCAGGGAGGAAUUUAUUGAAUUGGCAAGGAAAUCUGGCAACUUCGACGAUGCUGCAAUCGAAUUUCAGCAGCGAGCUCUCAAGAAUUCUGGGAUUGGAGACGAGUCUUACAUUCCUAGGGUAGUUUUCCAACCUGGUCGGAGAAUUACACUGGAGGACGGGCGAGAAGAGGCAGCAAUGGUGAUAUUUGGAGCAGUCGAUGACCUCCUAGCCACCACGAAAAUACAGACUAAGGACAUUAGAAUUCUAGUUGUCAAUUGUGGGAUCCUAAAUCCUACCCCAUCGCUCUCAGCAAUGGUGAUAAACCAUUAUAAGCUUAGGCAUAAUAUAAAUAGUUUCAACCUUGGAGGGAUGGGUUGUGCUGCUGGAGUUAUAGCUAUUGAUCUAGCUAAAGACCUUUUGAAAGCUUAUCCUGGAUCAUAUGCACUAGUAGUGAGCACAGAAGUGGUAAGUUAUACAUGGUACGCCGGCAACGAUCCAGAUAUGCUCCUUGCCAACUCCUUCUUCAGAAUGGGGGCUGCAGCCAUGCUUCUGUCUAGUUUUCGUCUUGACCGGUGGCGCUCCAAGUAUGAACUAAAGCAGGUAUUACCUCUUUUAUCUCUAUUAACUUGUGAUCUAUUCUCAAGUUGUGAGUGAUUUUUAAUGACGAAUGCAGCUGGUUCGAACCCACAAAGGCAUGGAUAGCAGAAGCUUCAAAAGCAUACAUCUGAAGGAAGACAAACAAGGAAAGCAAGGUCUCUCAGUAAGCAAAGAUGUAAUUGAAGUGGCAGGCCAUGCUCUUAAGGCCAACAUCACCACCGUAGGUCCUCUAGUUCUCCCUAUAUCAGAACAAGUCCAUUUCUUCACCAACUUGCUCUUCAAGAAAAAAUGCUCCAAGCCUUACAUUCCUGACUAUAAGCUUGCUUUUGAGCAUGUAUGCUUAUUGGCAACUAGCAAAAUGGUCCUCAACGAAUUGCAGAAGAACUUGGAGCUCACCGAUGAGUAUAUGGAGGCAUCAAGAAAAACUUUGGAGCGAUUUGGGAACACUUCCAGCAGUAGCGUAUGGUACGAACUGGCUUACUUGGAGGCAAAUGCAAGGAUCAAGAAAGGCGAUAGAAUUUGGCAACUUGCUUUUGGUUCCGGCUUCAAGUGCAACAGUGUUGUUUGGAAGGCUCUUAGGAGUGUUGGGAAACCUGAGAGAAACCCAUGGAUGCAGGAAUCUGUCUAGAUACUUAAUUUGCUAUAUAUGCAUGAAAACAUUUCCAACAAUAUUGGUUUCAAUAGUAAACAUGCAUAAUAACCUUAUGGUCUCUUUUUCCAUACUGUAUGAUUGCGUAUGCCUUAGAUUUACGUGCCUACUAUAACCUAAUAAUUGCACUGGAAUUUUGGAACAGUUAGAAAUGCAGGCUCAGCAACAAAUUUUUGUGUGAACGAUUGUAUUUCUGAUGAUGAGUGAAAUGAGGUAAAUGACUUGGAUAAUAAAUCUGAAUACUUUUGGCCUGUGAUUUCCAGCUAAAGGAAAUAAAUUAUGAAUCAAGCUAAGGAGGAAGUUAACAGUACAAGGGUUAUUUUGUGGAUUUUUUAGGGAGAUGAAGAAUUCCACCAAGUGGCAUGAGGUACAACAUAAAGAAUUCCCUGAGACUUUUGUUUGUGGAUGAGCUGGACAGUAGAUAAUCU
RNAcentral lists this unclassified non-coding RNA (1765 nucleotides) under Hevea brasiliensis (rubber tree). The record is from RNAcentral. Lineage: Eukaryota; Viridiplantae; Streptophyta; Magnoliopsida; Malpighiales; Euphorbiaceae.